CCUACGGGAGGCAGCAGUGAGGAAUAUUGGUCAAUGGACGAGAGUCUGAACCAGCCAAGUAGCGUGAAGGAUGACUGCCCUAUGGGUUGUAAACUUCUUUUAUAUGGGAAUAAAAUGUUCCACGUGUGGGAUUUUGUAUGUACCAUAUGAAUAAGGAUCGGCUAACUCCGUGCCAGCAGCCGCGGUAAUACGGAGGAUCCGAGCGUUAUCCGGGUUUAUUGGGUUUAAAGGGAGAGUAGGUGGAUUGUUAAGUCAGUUGUGAAAGUUUGCGGCUCAACCGUAAAAUUGCAGUUGAAACUGGCAGUCUUGAGUACAGUAGAGGUGGGCGGAAUUCGUGGUGUAGCGGUGAAAUGCUUAGAUAUCACGAAGAACUCCGAUUGCGAAGGCAGUUCACUGGACUGCAACUGACACUGAGGCUCGAAAGUGUGGGUAUCAAACAGGAUUAGAUACCCGAGUAGUC
This 460-nucleotide ribosomal RNA is filed under the name uncultured bacterium. RNAcentral's name for it is "partial 16S ribosomal RNA". It matches the Rfam family "Bacterial small subunit ribosomal RNA", at positions 338 to 795 of the family's 1533-position model. The record is from RNAcentral.